GACGAACCGUGCGAACGUUGUUCGGAUUCACUGGGCUUAAAGGGCGCGUAGGCGGGCCAUCAAGUCUGGGGUGAAAUCUUUCGGCUCAACCGGAAAAGUGCCUUGGAUACUGGUGGUCUUGAGGGAGGUAGGGGCAUGCGGAACUUCCGGUGGAGCGGUGAAAUGCGUAGAUAUCGGAAGGAACGCCGGUGGCGAAAGCGGCGUGCUGGACCUCUUCUGACGCUGAGGCGCGAAAGCCAGGGGAGCAAACGGG
Molecule: ribosomal RNA, 253 nt
Filed under: uncultured bacterium
Lineage: Bacteria
Description: partial 16S ribosomal RNA
Rfam family: Bacterial small subunit ribosomal RNA
Source: RNAcentral